UGGGGAAUAUUGCACAAUGGGCGGAAGCCUGAUGCAGCGACGCCGCGUGGGGGAUGAAGGCCUUCGGGUUGUAAACUCCUUUCGACAGGGACGAAGCUUUUGUGACGGUACCUGUAUAAGAAGCACCGGCUAACUACGUGCCAGCAGCCGCGGUAAUACGUAGGGUGCGAGCGUUGUCCGGAAUUACUGGGCGUAAAGAGCUCGUAGGUGGUUUGUCGCGUCGUCUGUGAAAUUCCGGGGCUUAACUCCGGGCGUGCAGGCGAUACGGGCUGACUUGAGUGCUGUAGGGGAGACUGGAAUUCCUGGUGUAGCGGAGAAAUGCGCAGAUAUCAGGAGGAACACCGAUGGCGAAGGCAGGUCUCUGGGCAGUAACUGACGCUGAGGAGCGAAAGCAUGGGUAGCGAACAGG
RNAcentral lists this ribosomal RNA (409 nucleotides) under bacterium. Its description in RNAcentral is "partial 16S ribosomal RNA". It matches the Rfam family "Bacterial small subunit ribosomal RNA", at positions 355 to 776 of the family's 1533-position model. The record is from RNAcentral.